ACCGUGAGGUGUAGGCGAGAAGAAGAAAUAUCGAAAUCGUAGCCUGACGAAUUGAAACCUGAUAUAAAGGCGUUUGCGUUGGAUAAUCUGGGUAAAAGCAGUUAAGUCCAAAAGACAACCGUACCCAUAGAUGUAAAUAAGACAAAUAAAUGAUGAUAG
This 159-nucleotide non-coding RNA is filed under the name bovine gut metagenome. The record is from RNAcentral.